CAGUCGACGAACUCUGGUAUUGAUUGGUGCUUGCAUCAUGAUUUACAUUUGAGUGAGUGGCGAACUGGUGAGUAACACGUGGGAAACCUGCCCAGAAGCGGGGGAUAACACCUGGAAACAGAUGCUAAUACCGCAUAACAACUUGGACCGCAUGGUCCGAGCUUGAAAGAUGGCUUCGGCUAUCACUUUUGGAUGGUCCCGCGGCGUAUUAGCUAGAUGGUGGGGUAACGGCUCACCAUGGCAAUGAUACGUAGCCGACCUGAGAGGGUAAUCGGCCACAUUGGGACUGAGACACGGCCCAAACUCCUACGGGAGGCAGCAGUAGGGAAUCUUCCACAAUGGACGAAAGUCUGAUGGAGCAACGCCGCGUGAGUGAAGAAGGGUUUCGGCUCGUAAAACUCUGUUGUUAAAGAAGAACAUAUCUGAGAGUAACUGUUCAGGUAUUGACGGUAUUUAACCAGAAAGCCACGGCUAACUACGUGCCAGCAGCCGCGGUAAUACGUAGGUGGCAAGCGUUGUCCGGAUUUAUUGGGCGUAAAGCGAGCGCAGGCGGUUUUUUAAGUCUGAUGUGAAAGCCUUCGGCUCAACCGAAGAAGUGCAUC
This 602-nucleotide ribosomal RNA is filed under the name Lactiplantibacillus plantarum. Its description in RNAcentral is "bacterial SSU rRNA". It matches the Rfam family "Bacterial small subunit ribosomal RNA", at positions 59 to 627 of the family's 1533-position model. The record is from RNAcentral. Lineage: Bacteria; Bacillati; Bacillota; Bacilli; Lactobacillales; Lactobacillaceae.